UGUAUCUUUGUUUAGCUAUCUAUGUGGUAUCACAUAGUGACAGCCAGAACAAUUGAAUGUUCUUCCACUAGAUGGCAGAAGUUAAAAUUAACGAGUGUAAUCCACCUGGUGCCAUUCAGAGAACAGAUAGCUCUGUUUUCAACUAGGUUGGGAUAUCCGGCUCUCUACCACUGAGCCAUGCCGACCUGUUGCGCCAUUGGCUUGCUCAAGGACGUGUUUUUCAAAACAGGCAGAUAAAAGAAUUACCUGCUUGUUCAGUUGGACCCUUUAUGCUUGUCAAGGCAGUAGAGCGAGCCAAUUAUUUUUGUGCACGCAAUUAAAAAAGUUAAUUUGGACUCCUAAAUGCCUUUCCCCAGCUGGCAAUGACGUGAAGGAGAUUUUUGCCAGUGCCAAGAGCGGAGACGAGUACCGAGUCUUGAAAAUCGUCAUCGAGGAUGAGCAGCUGACAGUUGCCGACACCAAGAAGGCGUCAAAGAAGUGGGACCAGGAGUACGAUGCCUUAGUGCUACCGCUGCUGGAGGACUCCCUCCCCUGCUACAUCCUCUACCGGCUGGACUCCAGCAACAACCAGGGUUAUGAAUGGAUCUUCCUCGCAUGGAGUCCCGACCACUCUGCCGUAAG
This is a long non-coding RNA of Hippocampus comes (tiger tail seahorse), 621 nucleotides long. RefSeq lists it as uncharacterized. The record is from RefSeq and is a predicted model, not a curated record. The transcript has 2 exons. Lineage: Eukaryota; Metazoa; Chordata; Actinopteri; Syngnathiformes; Syngnathidae.